AUGCAAGUCGAACGGUAACAGGCCGCAAGGUGCUGACGAGUGGCGAACGGGUGAGUAAUGCAUCGGAACGUGCCCAGUCGUGGGGGAUAACGCAGCGAAAGCUGCGCUAAUACCGCAUACGAUCUAUGGAUGAAAGCGGGGGACCGAAAGGCCUCGCGCGAUUGGAGCGGCCGAUGUCAGAUUAGGUAGUUGGUGGGGUAAAGGCUCACCAAGCCGACGAUCUGUAGCUGGUCUGAGAGGACGACCAGCCACACUGGAACUGAGACACGGUCCAGACUCCUACGGGAGGCAGCAGUGGGGAAUUUUGGACAAUGGGCGCAAGCCUGAUCCAGCAAUGCCGCGUGCAGGAAGAAGGCCUUCGGGUUGUAAACUGCUUUUGUACGGAACGAAACGGCGAGCUCUAAUACAGUUUGCUAAUGACGGUACCGUAAGAAUAAGCACCGGCUAACUACGUGCCAGCAGCCGCGGUAAUACGUAGGGUGCAAGCGUUAAUCGGAAUUACUGGGCGUAAAGCGUGCGCAGGCGGUUUUGUAAGACAGUCGUGAAAUCCCCGGGCUCAACCUGGGAAUUGCGAUUGUGACUGCAAAGCUGGAGUGCGGCAGAGGGGGAUGGAAUUCCGCGUGUAGCAGUGAAAUGCGUAGAUAUGCGGAGGAACACCGAUGGCGAAGGCAAUCCCCUGGGCCUGCACUGACGCUCAUGCACGAAAGCGUGG
This 712-nucleotide ribosomal RNA is filed under the name uncultured Hydrogenophaga sp. RNAcentral's name for it is "bacterial SSU rRNA". It matches the Rfam family "Bacterial small subunit ribosomal RNA", at positions 55 to 764 of the family's 1533-position model. Lineage: Bacteria; Pseudomonadati; Pseudomonadota; Betaproteobacteria; Burkholderiales; Comamonadaceae. The record is from RNAcentral.